AGAGUUUGAUCCUGGCUCAGAUUGAACGCUGGCGGCAUGCCUAACACAUGCAAGUCGAACGGCAGCAUGGUGUGUAGCAAUACACAUUGAUGGCGAGUGGCGGACGGGUGAGAAACGCGUGGGAAUCUGCCCUUGAGAGUGGGACAACCCGAGGAAACUCGGGCUAAUACCGCAUGACCUCGGAAGAGGAAAGGCUGGGU
RNAcentral lists this ribosomal RNA (200 nucleotides) under uncultured bacterium. RNAcentral describes it as "partial 16S ribosomal RNA". It matches the Rfam family "Bacterial small subunit ribosomal RNA", at positions 8 to 213 of the family's 1533-position model. The record is from RNAcentral.